UUAAACUACUUCACAUGUUAUUCCAAUAGAGCUAGGAGUGUUCUAGGGUCAAGAUAACACCACAAAACACCCAAAAACACCAUUUGAGGAGUUCACGGCCAUAAACCUAUGAGUUUACGGCCGUAAACUCCAAGGUGUGGGGUUUGUUAGAUGGUGAACUCCUAUACAAGGCCCUUUGAUGAUUCAAACCCUUUUGCCUUGUCCCGUAGCAACUUAGAUGCAACCAUUUGAACCUUAAACACUCAUAAAAGUGUUUAAAUGUUUUCUAAGUGUCUUAACUUAUUUAUUUAAGUUAUUAUAUGUCUAAUUAGUUAUAUAUAUGCUUAUUAUAUGAUAACUAGGCUCGUGCGUGUAAACCAGUCUCCGUUUGCCACCUAGCACGGUGUCCGACACUGCAAUUCAAACGACUCACCACAAGUGAGUUCAUACCCCUUGAAUCAACCUUUGAAAUGAUUUUAAAUGUUUUAUAACACUUUAUGGGGGGGAAUACAAGUCAAAUACUUAUAAGUUAUUACUUCAAUCACAUGUGAUUGUGUUUAAUCACAUGUGAUUAAUAACUAGGAAAACAACGAUUUUCACACUGUUCAAACUGUUUUUCAACUGCUUUACUAUUGAAAUGUUUUACAAACUGUUUUACUAUCCAAACUUACUUAUAGACUGUGAUUCAAUCAAAUGCUUCUUAUACUUAAACUGUUUUAUCAACUUAUGCUUUCAAAAUGAUUUAUAGAUCGACAUCAAGUCAAUCUUCUCUUGAAAUUAUAUUUAUGCUUCAAAAUGUUUUAUGAAAACUUAUUUAUGCUUUAUAUAUACAAUUGCAUGCCCAUAUAUGUAUAGAUAUAUAAAUAAUGUUCAAAAGGCUUAGGAAUGCCAUCCGCCCUAUUUCCUUUUCCUCGAUUUGGAUGUGGUCUGGUGGGAUUUCGGGUGACCAUCCGAAGGUCGUUUCCAUAUUACUUAUAUAUCAUAUAUACAUGUAUAGACAUAAAAGUACUUCCAUAUUCAUACUCAUCAGUACAUCAUUAGCUGGUUACCAUCGGGGUAACGCAGGAUCAUACAUAUACAGAUAUACUAGAAACAAUACAUAUACAGAUAUACUAGAAACAAUACAUAUACAGAUAUACUAGAAACAAUACAUAUACAGAUAUACUAGAAACAAUACAUAUACAGAUAUACUAGAAACAAUACAUAUACAGAUAUACUAGAAACAAUACAUAUACAGAUAUACUAGAAACAAUACAUAUACAGAUAUACUAGAAACAAUACAUAUACAGAUAUACUAGAAACAAUACAUAUACAGAUAUACGAGAAACAAUACAUAUACAGAUAUACGAGAAACAAUACAUAUACAGAAAUACUUGAAACAAUACAUAUACAGAUAUACGAGAAACAAUACAUAUACAGAUAUACGAGAAACAAUACAUAUACAGAUAUACGAGAAACAAUACAUAUACAGAUAUACGAGAAACAAUACAUAUACAUAAAUACGAGAAACAAUACAUAUACAGAUAUACGAGAAACAAUACAUAUACAGAUAUACGAGAAACAAUACAUAUACAGAUAUACGAGAAACAAUACAUAUACAUAAAUACGAGAAACAAUACAUAUACAGAUAUACGAGAAACAAUACAUAUACAGAUAUACGAGAAACAAUACAUAUACAUAUAUACGAGAAACAAUACAUAUAC
RNAcentral lists this long non-coding RNA (1682 nucleotides) under Lactuca sativa (garden lettuce). RNAcentral describes it as "long non-coding RNA (LSAT_LNC008384)". Lineage: Eukaryota; Viridiplantae; Streptophyta; Magnoliopsida; Asterales; Asteraceae. The record is from RNAcentral.